This 248-nucleotide ribosomal RNA is filed under the name uncultured bacterium. RNAcentral's name for it is "partial small subunit ribosomal RNA". It matches the Rfam family "Bacterial small subunit ribosomal RNA", at positions 26 to 278 of the family's 1533-position model. The record is from RNAcentral.
AGGACGAACGCUGGCGGCGUGCUUAACACAUGCAAGUCGAGCGGAAAGGCCCUUCGGGGUACUCGAGCGGCGAACGGGUGAGUAACACGUGAGUAAUCUGCCCCUAGCUCUGGGAUAGCUCCGGGAAACCGGGAUUAAUACCAGAUACGACCACUUUUAGACAUCUGUUGUGGUGGAAAGAAUUUCGGCUAGGGAUGAGCUCGCGGCCUAUCAGCUUGUUGGUGAGGUAACGGCUCACCAAGGCGACG